Molecule: RNA transcript, 1796 nt
Organism: Mesoplodon densirostris (Blainville's beaked whale)
Lineage: Eukaryota; Metazoa; Chordata; Mammalia; Artiodactyla; Ziphiidae
Gene: ZNF691
Gene name: zinc finger protein 691
Exons: 7
Source: RefSeq, a predicted model, not a curated record
CGGCCCCCCGAGGCGGUGCUGUCCCUGACCGUACGGCUGGAGCUAGGGUCCAGAGAUGGGCAGUGAGAAGGAGCAGAGCCCAGAACAGCACCUGCCCGAGGACGGGGAACGGGGUCAUAAGCCACGGAGAGUGGACGACUCGGAGGGUCCUUGGAUCCCAGGUGGGGAGAAAGAGCGUGGGCAAGCAAGCCUGUCGGAGGGGCCACAAGGGCUCUAUCCAGAGAAGCCACCGCAGGACGUCCCUGUCCCCGCUGGAGAGCCAGAGGACCUCUCUGCUCAUCCGAGGCCCGAGGCUGAUGAGAAGCCCUUUAUCUGUGCCCAGUGUGGCAAAACCUUCAAUAACACCUCCAACCUGAGAACACACCAGCGGAUCCACACAGGCGAGAAACCCUACAAGUGUUCUGAGUGUGGCAAGAGCUUCUCGAGAAGCUCCAACCGCAUCCGGCACGAGCGCAUCCACCUGGAGGAGAAGCACUUUAAGUGUCCCAACUGCGAGGAGAGCUUCCGCCGGCACUCGGACCUCACCACGCACCAGCAGGAUCACCUGGGCAGGCAGCCCUUCCGCUGCGACAUCUGCGGCAAGAGCUUCAGCCAGAGCUCGGCGCUGGCCGUGCACUACCGGACCCACCUGGAGCCGGCGCCCUACAUCUGCUGCGAGUGCGGGAAGAGCUUCAGCAACAGCUCCAGCUUCGGCGUGCACCACCGCACCCACACGGGCGAGCGGCCCUAUGAGUGCGCCGAGUGCGGGCGGACCUUCAGCGACAUCUCCAACUUUGGGGCGCACCAGAGGACCCACAGGGGCGAGAAGCCCUACCGGUGCACGCUGUGCGGGAAGCACUUCUCCCGCAGCUCCAAUCUCAUCCGCCACCAGAAAACUCACCGGGGAGAGCAGGCUGGGAAAGAUUCCAGCUGAAGAGGGCGAGGAAGAGAGAGAGCAGAGCGUGGGACCCCAACCUAGUGCAGAAAGAUCUUUAGGAUCUCCUGCUGCCCCCUUGACCUCAAGCCCUUCCCCCCACUUUGGAGAAUGGUUUUCUGUUGCCUCUGAAGCCAGGAUCUCCAGGAAGUCCUGAGAAGGGACUCUGAGUAAAAAUCUUCACUUCUUUUCCAGGCCGAUUUCUUGUGGUAGAAAGUCAGAGGACCCCGUCUUGGCCUCACCUCCUUGGGGUGAAAGAGAAAUAAGUUGUCGCAGCAACCGCAAGGGAGUAAGAUGAGACAAGUGAGAAAAGGUGAAGUCACUCGCUGUGAAGUCGCACAGCAGGUGGUGUUUUUGCCUUAGAAGAUCACAAUUUUACAACCAUCAUGUAAUGAAUAGAUUCAGAGCAGUAGAAAUUUCCAAGACUCGUUACUGGGAAAGGCAAUGAAAUUUCUUUAAGAGUCAGAGCCCUAGAACAAUGCCUGGCGCCCAGCAGGUGCUCAAUAAAUGAAUGAAGUGAAACGAAUGAAAAGAUAUGGGUUCCAUGACAGGAAAGAGCUUGCACUGGGAACCCUGCACCAGGUGGUUUAGGAGAUGCCGACCAUCAGAGCCAGAGAUGACCUUCAGAAGGGAAGAGAUCCCUGGGAAUUCACAGAAACCUGGGGGCACCUGCCCUGGCUCUCACCUGGAUUCUGCUCCUGACUCCUCCCGUCCACCGAAGCCAGAUUCCGAUUCCCACCAUUAUUCCCUGACUUGGCAGUCGAGCCCUGGACAUUAAGUGGACCAGGCUCAGCCCUCCGUUUGUCUCUGUUCCCUUCCCUUCCCAGCCCACUCCCAACCCCUCUCCCUGCCAAGGGUCGGUGUGAGUGCACGCGUGCUGGGG